This 460-nucleotide ribosomal RNA is filed under the name uncultured bacterium. Its description in RNAcentral is "partial 16S ribosomal RNA". It matches the Rfam family "Bacterial small subunit ribosomal RNA", at positions 338 to 795 of the family's 1533-position model. The record is from RNAcentral.
CCUACGGGGGGCAGCAGUGAGGAAUAUUGGUCAAUGGGCGCGAGCCUGAACCAGCCAAGUCGCGUGAGGGAGGACGGCCCUACGGGUUGUAAACCUCUUUUGCCGGGGAGCAACGUGCGUCACGUGUGGCGCCACUGAGAGUACCCGGAGUAAAAGCAUGGGCUAACUCCGUGCCAGCAGCCGCGGUCAUACGGGGGAGGCGAGCGUUAUGCGGAUUUAUGGGGUUUAAAGGGUGCGUAGGCGGAGCGUUAAGUCAGUGGUCAAAUUGAGGGUCUCAACCCCUUCCCGCCAUUGAAACUGGCGCUCUUGAGUGGAAGAGACGUAUGCGGAAUGCGUGGUGUAGCGGUGAAAUGCAUAGAUAUCACGCAGAACCCCGAUUGCGAAGGCAGCAUGCCGGCUUCCGACUGACGCUGAAGCACGAAAGCGUGGGGAUCGAACAGGAUUAGAUACCCCUGUAGUC